Molecule: long non-coding RNA, 1253 nt
Organism: Cyprinus carpio (common carp)
Lineage: Eukaryota; Metazoa; Chordata; Actinopteri; Cypriniformes; Cyprinidae
Exons: 4
Source: RefSeq, a predicted model, not a curated record
UAUGAUUCCAAUUCAACAUACGAGUACUCGUUCUUCAGCAAUGUCAGCAGUAAAGAACAAGAGAACUUUUUCAUGGGAGAAGGGAUGGCUAGCGGAGGAGAAACAAGCUUUACAGAAAUAAAAAAAGAAACAGAUGGAGGUGUGCAUGAAGAAAAGCCUACUGAGCCCACAAUCUUUGAUACGAAUCAGGCAUCUCAGUCAACGCCUGUAUGUUCCCUUCUUACCUUGGUUCUGAUGGUUUAUCAGCUGCUCAGACUACUAUAGCAGAUGCUGAACAGAAGUCCACGAAGAAGGAGAGCAGAUGGACAGAUAACCUGAACGAAAGACAUGUGGACAUCCAGUACAGACAGACACACACACGCUCAUGCAUACACACUCAAAGAGCUCAAGCAAAAACAGCAGCGGAUCCAUGACAAACCAUGGCAACACACGGCUUGCAAGCUUUAAAUGAAAAGACACAUUGUUCGCUAUUCUUUGUCACUGCAAAACAGGUGCACAGAGGUCAGAGGUCUCAUAGACUGGAUCAGUGGAAUGGAAUAUGAAUGUGAAAUGGGGCUAAACUAAAUGACAGGUUCUUUUGUGGGUAUUCUUUCAGGUUGUGACUCACAGGAGGUGAUUUGAAGAGCCUGAAUAACAAAGAAACUGAAAAGAAGAAAAAAACAAGAUACUUCUCUUUUUUAAUGAACAUAUGUGCAGGCUGUUCACUGUCAUGUAAUUUUAUGGCAAAAAUCAAAAUAAUUUUAAUAGAUUUGUCUUUUAUGAAAUUUUGUCAGUUUAAGCAUUUUUUUUAUCUAUAAUCUGCACAUCCUUUGAUUGUCAGGGCAGAAAUAAAUGUGUCAAAGAUGUAACUGAGAAACAAGCAAAUCAGACAUCAGAGUUACAUAAUGUAAGAUUUAAGCUUUACACAAACUGACCUGGAUUUAUGUUAUGUUUGGGAAACUGAAGAAACACUCGAAAGUUUUACAGUUAGAUUGAGCUUUUCUAGUCAUUUAAAGCAUCAUGACCUCUUGCAGAUAUUACAUAUAGGCACUUUCUUCGCCACUGCACUUCUAAGCCUCACUAUUUCUUCAGUAAUCCAAGAUAAUGAAAACACAUUUUUUAUUAAGUUUGAAUUUAUUAUUAUUAAUGUUUUUUUUUUUUUUUUUUUUUACAAAUAAGGAUGGUGAUUUGCACCAAAAUGCACAUGAAUUUGUGAACCAGAUUAGCUUUUUUAUGUGUUGUUACCAAUACUGAAUAAAUAUUUUUUCAAAUGA